UGAUUAAAUCACGCAACUAGCCUUGGCUAGGUCGAAGGGGUGCCUUGGAUUUUUAUCCUUGCCUUCCCCUUCGUCAAAUGUGACUCCCGAACAUUUUUCGUUGGUUUACGUGGACUAGGAGUCGUUUAAAAGGGGUUUCUUACUACUUUUUCCUAUUUUUCUUUAAAAAUUCAUUUUUAGGUGACUUGGUACACCUUAACUCAUUACCAAGUGGUGACUCCGAUUUUUUAUUUUCAAAAAACCCUUUUUAAACUAUAAUUUUGGGUCAAAUCGUCGCAUUCUCAAAACCCCAUUGAGGCCCACUUUUCUUUUAAAUCAAAAUUCAUUUUCCAACCACAAAUUGAAUCAAAAAAAUACAUUUUUAAACCAUUUAUUUAUCAAAAAAUGGGGCGCGACAACUCCCUCCGUCCCACUUUGAUAGUCCCAUUUUUUUUUUCACACAGUUUAAGAAAAAGUAGUUAACUUUGUUGGAAAAGUAAAUUUAGAUUACUAUUUUCCUAAAAUACCCUCACAUUAAAUAUGGUACAACUUUAUGGGAACUUGAAUUGAUGGUAAAAAAAGAAUCAACUCUCAUUAAAUGGGGUAGGUUUAUAGUAAUAACAACUUACAUUGAAUAAGGGUAUUUUAGGAAAAUUAAAAUACAACUACAUUCUUCAAUUGGAAAGUGGACUAUAAUUUGGGACAGACGAAAAAGGAAAACGAGACUAUUCAAGUGGGACGGAGGGAGUAGUACUUAUUGUUGGUUGCAUGUAUGUGUGUUGUACAUUGUGCAAAAGUUUUUGUGAGACUUGAUUGUUUGCCUGUUUUUUUCCCUAUGUUAUUAAAAUCAAAAUUAUCCGAUAAUGGUGGACAGACAUUAUGACGGUGUAUUGGGAUGAUGACAACAUGAAUUUUGGUUUGACCGAGUGUUUAAUGUGUAGGCAUUUAAGUGAUUAUCUGUCAUUGUUUUUACUCUUGCACAACUCUAAUCAUCUAUCCCCAGUUCUUCUUUUCCGCCUUCCCUUUAUUUUUUUUCCUUUGGAAAGGAGCGGUCCACCAUUUGUGACCCCUCCAUAAACAACUAGCACUAUGAAUAUCAAUUGAGAAGUUCCACAUUUAAAAAAAAAAAAAGAAAAAGCAAAAAAAAUGAGAGGUUCCAUGAACACAGACCAACCAAAUGGCCCCUAUGUAGCAUGUCGAAAAAUCAACUCGAGCAGCCCUCUUUGAUUGAAUUUUGUUUCUUUUGGAGUUAUAUAGUCUUAUAUUAUUACAGUUAAAGUUAAAAUUCUAAUCCAACAGUAGUGUAUAUUUAUUUUACACACAAAACUGUGGUCGGUUCGAGUAACUAUUGCCUCUAUUUCUUUUUCUUUGAUUCAUUCUUCAAUUGUUAAAUGUCAACUGUUGCAAUGUAUUCAUUUGUCUAAGCUUCUAUUUUUUAUGAAUUUUGAGGUUUUGUCGGUAGAUUAGAUUUUUAUUGAUUCUUGGUAUGUUCAAGGAUGCGUAUUCUGAAGUUUUUGUGUUGUGAUAUUAUAAAUCUAUACUCAUUUUUUGGUUGUGGUUUACUUGACAUUUCUAAUUUGCUUACUCCAAUACUUCAAUUCCUGUACUAUAUUCAGGUUAUAAAGACAGUUGGAGCUUCGGGAUAUCUCAAGCCCUUUCAAUUUCAACAUUUUAUUAACGUACCCUCAAUUUGUU
RNAcentral lists this long non-coding RNA (1674 nucleotides) under Coffea arabica (coffee). RNAcentral describes it as "long non-coding RNA (CARA_LNC004406)". The record is from RNAcentral. Lineage: Eukaryota; Viridiplantae; Streptophyta; Magnoliopsida; Gentianales; Rubiaceae.